This 1413-nucleotide long non-coding RNA is filed under the name Carassius auratus (goldfish). Its description in RNAcentral is "lncRNA (ENSCARG00000024090.1)". Lineage: Eukaryota; Metazoa; Chordata; Actinopteri; Cypriniformes; Cyprinidae. The record is from RNAcentral.
AGUCUGAAUGCAGUUGUGAGUUGUUUAUAAGGUUACUUGUUUAGUCUCUACUAAUGUCAAAGAUGAAUCGUUCCAGACCUGAUGAUGACCGAUAUAAAAUAAAUCAUUCAAGACCUGAUGAUGACCAAUAUAAAGUAUCUGAUGUUGAGAUGACUGAAGAUCUGUAUGAGAAUGUAAGUUAUCAUUAUCUAGUCCAUUGGUGUCAAUGCUAAUAUGGUUAUUGUUAUAGAUAUCAUUAUAGUUAACAAUCGUUGGUAAAUUUUUUAAUCAGUUUUCCCUCUGUUUUUUUCUUCUAUGGGAAAGUUGAAUCAUUCAAGACCUGAUGAUGACAGAUAUAAAGUAUCUGAUGUUGAGAUGACUGAAGAUCUGUAUGAGAAUAUGAAUCAUUUGAGACCUCAUGAUGAUAUACUUAAAGUUACUGACAUUGAGUCGACUGAACCUGUGUUUGAGAAUGUAAUGGUAAGUGAUUUCACUCUUGAUAUCAAUUGUCUACUGACUAAGUAUAUGAUGCACACAAUAUGAUUCACUGUUUAAGAUCAAGUAAUCUAGUGAAGUUAUUUUAUACUGACAAGAAAUUUGAAUUAUUAAUGUAGUAAUUUACUUUCUUUCAGAGUAGCAGGCCGUAGUGUUUGGGACACUUGUCAAAACAUUUUAUAUACAUUUUUUUUCUGUCUCUCUGUGUGUGGAUCCCUUAAUGAUUGACAGUAGUGUCUUGAUUUACAUAAAUUAAUUUAGCAGUUUACCCUUUGCAAAAAGCUUGAUUAACAGGACCAGUCAUAACCCCAAAUCCAAUUUUGUCUGACAAACGAAUAAGACAGGAGGGUAGAUUAACUUUGGUGAAAAUUGUGUGUAUUGACAUCUUUCUGCAGUUGAAAUAAAAUAUGUCCUGAUGUUCAUUCAUGUUUAUUUUGUGCUAUAAGUAAAUAUGAAAAGAUGAUCGGUUCACAUGCUGCUUGAACUGAGGCAAAAAAUCUGUUACGGCACAUUAAAGACCCACAAAAUGGUAUUUAUUGUUUAAAUCCCUUACAAAUGUGAAAUUUGAUAGCUGAGCCUUUGUUUCAUACCAGAAGUAAACAGCUUUGCCUUGUCUGUCGGUGUGUAGUCAAUUCCCUUUUCGUUCUGCAAUGCAUUUUUCACUGCACGGGAACAUGUAGUGUGAGAGCAGCAUGACUUGUCAGACAUAGCAACAGUAACUAAGGAGGAUCAAUUGGUUUUAUCCAUAAUGAUUCACAAAUGAUGAGCAUUAAAGAUACUGUAAUUUUAUUAAAUUCCAUUUGAAUUAUGAAAACAAUCUUAAUUUGUAACAAACAAACAAAUUAAAAAUAAUAUAAACAUGUAUGAUCUCAUUGUAUGUAUAUCUUUAAAGAAUAUACUAUAUACAGUGCAUUGCCUUUCUAUUAAACUGUACUGUCA